AGCGAACGCUGGCGGCAGGCUUAACACAUGCAAGUCGAGCGGGCAUCCCUGUGGUGUCAGCGGCAGACGGGUGGGUAACGCGUGGGAACGUGCCCUUCGGUUCGGCCUAACUCUGGGAAAAUUGAGCUAAUACUGGAUACGUUCCAGAGCAGAAAGGUCUAUCUGCGGAAGGAUCGGGGCGCGUCUGAUUAGUUAGUUGGUGAGGGUAUGGCUCUCCAAGGCGUGGAGCAGUAGCUGGUCGGAGAGGAUGAUCAGCCACACUGGCACUGAGACCCGGCCCAGACUCCUACGGGAGGGAGGAGUGGGGAAUACUGGACGAGGGGGGCAACUCUGAUACAGCCGUGCCGGGUGAGAGAUGACGGCCGUAGGGUUGUGAAGCUCUUUGCUCCGGGGCGAUAAUGACGGUACCGGAUGAAUAAGCCCCGGCUAACUUCGUG
Molecule: ribosomal RNA, 437 nt
Filed under: uncultured bacterium
Lineage: Bacteria
Description: partial 16S ribosomal RNA
Rfam family: Bacterial small subunit ribosomal RNA
Source: RNAcentral